AUGGCAAUGUGUCUUGUUUUGUUUCAGACAUUACCGAAAUCCAUAGUUUCAUCGACUGGGCUUUGGAAUAUUGCAGAGUCUCUGUGUGGAGUUGAGGGAGACUACUUGCAGAGACCUACAAAAGUGUGUGCUAAACCUGUCCUCCUCAACAUAGUAAAAAAUGAGGUGGAAAGGUGGGUGAAGACAACAACAUUUUUUGGUAUUAUAAGGUUAUUCAAGACAGGAAAGACGAGGACCAACUGGGAAGAGUUGCAGAACAUAAUAUUUGGUAAUAAAAAAGCAAGUGAAAAGAAAUGUAAAUAAAUGUGAUGUCUGGGGGGAAAAAAUAACCUCAAUGUUAAUUAUAUAUAAAUCCUACCUUAACAUACACAGCCUGUCACCCAGGAAUGAGGUCUUCAAAUUAUAUAUAGUGGAUAACUGUAGAGAAAUAGCUCCGUGAAAAUGUCAACUCAAAAUGGAAAAUAUCAUUACACCUCUCUGUAAUUUCACAGUGUGCCCACAUCUUGAACACUGUAAAUACUUCUGGUCACUUCACCCUCACUCUCUCCCCUAGUCGAAAAGAUACAGAGAAGGUCACAAGAGUGAUCAAAAGUAUGAAAUAGUUUCAAUACAAUGUUUAAUUAAAAAUCUUAAGAAUCUUAAGACUAGAAAAAAAGACAAAGGAAGAGGGAUGUAACAGCAGUUCAUAAAAUUAUCGAGCUUAUGGAGGAGUUAAACAGGGACUGACUGUGCACUGUCUUUUCUAGACAGAGCAAGCAGCUAUCAGAUGAAAUUAGAAUGUGGCAAUUUCAAAACAAAAUAGAAAUAAGUUUUCAUGCAAUUAAGUUACUACAGAACAUUUGUGGAGCUAAAAGUUGAUUCUUGAAAAAGAAUUGGAAGGAAAAAGCCAUGAACUAUUCAAAAAGGAUGUUGAAUAGGAAUAAUUAUCUAGUUCAGUUAGUUCUGAGCUGCAAGUUUUUCUGGCCUGGCAGAAUAGACUCAGGAAAUAAUUUUUAUUUUUAUUUUUUGCGUAGGCAUCUGCUGCUGGCUAAUGUGAGAGACAGGAUAACAGGCUAGUUUGAACUUCAUCUUACCUGUUACAGAGAUGAGUGGUCUAUUUUAUUCUCUACUUACAUUUGUCUUCUAUUAAGCAAACAUUCUUAUAUAUAAUUCAAUGAUAUGACAUUCUAAUAUCCCUAUAAACAGAAUUAACAACUGUUUAAUUAUGCCUCAUGUAGUACUGAAUAUAAUUUUCUUUGUAGUCAAGUUUAUUUAAGUUAUUAAGACAUGCAAAUGUACCUCGAUUUUCACGAUACUGAUGGAGCUACUGUACCCAAAUAAUAGCAACAUUUUGUUUUUUGAGUGGUGUGUUGUAAAAGUAUUAUAUUGUUAUUAAUAAUUAGCUUUUGCUGUGCUAAGCUAUAGCUUAAGACUGUUCAGGUUUGAGGAGGCGGGACAUUUCGAAGCCUUUCUUUGUUUUAAGGAUUGCACCAGCCCCACUAGUAAAAAUUCAGUAAUCAAGUGGAACAUGAUAUAUGGGUUAUAUCCGUGUAGCCAAGCUGAUCACCCUGUUUUGCUUGAGGCUCAAAGUUGUCUGAUUAUCCACUUUGCACAUAGGGUAAGCUCCAACCUCAGCUGAAAGUACUUUUGGCAGAGAAGCCUAGGCAUGAAUGAGAGAAGUUUAUGCAAGGCUUAGCACCUGACCUGCAGUAAGGACAUGGAAGCAGUCUGCACCAGCUUUGCUGAGGGCCACAGAGCACUUUCCACUGUGGAUUUGAAAGACGAGCCAGUCCCUGAGACCCCUUCUUUUCUACCCUGAUAUCUCCUCUGAGUGUCAGAGCAAGGAGUUUAAAGUCAACAGAGACAACCAGGCAGGCACUUUCUUCCGGAUGGUUUGCCAAGAGCACUGUAACUGCCCUUUGCGCUUCCAGCACCAAGAUCUGUUUCCCAGCACAUAUCAUAUUUCACAUGACACAUGAAUUAAUCUUCACCGUGUUCCUAUGAAGUAGGUAAACACUGUCCUUAAAUAAAUAAUAAUAAUAAUAAAGACA
This is a long non-coding RNA of Anser cygnoides (Swan goose), 2030 nucleotides long. The record is from Ensembl. NCBI's taxonomy places the organism in Eukaryota, Metazoa, Chordata, Aves, Anseriformes, Anatidae.